Anolis carolinensis (green anole) is the source of this 1095-nucleotide long non-coding RNA. RefSeq lists it as uncharacterized. Lineage: Eukaryota; Metazoa; Chordata; Lepidosauria; Squamata; Anolidae. The transcript is spliced from 3 exons. The record is from RefSeq and is a predicted model, not a curated record.
AUAUCCAGCCAGAGGGCUGAGGAGAAAUAUACAUUAGAAAGAGAAGAAAGUUGCCUAACUAAGCUGAAAUAAGUUAAACUGUUCUGGAAGUUAUAUAAUAACACGUUUAUGUAUUCAAAAGAGUGAAAGACAAUAACAAUAGUAUCUAAGUGGAACUGAAGUAAAGUUAUUUGUAACAAAUACGCUUUAUGUGCAAAAGAAUUCAUAAAUAAACAUUUCUUUGUUUCAACUUAUAUAUUAAAAUCUCGUGUCAAGUUACAGGACUGAAGUUACAUAUUUGAAAGUCGGCCGGAGAUUAUAUUGAUGUAACCUGCGAGGAGAAGUUGGAAGCUACAUAUUGAUUCCAGGAUUAAGGUGAAGGCUUCCCCUGACGUUGAGUCCAGUCAUGUCUGACUCUGGGGGUUGGUGCUCAUCUCCAUUUCUAAGCUGAAGAGCCGGCGUUGUCCAUAGACACCUCCAAGGUCAUGUGGCCAGCAUGACUGCAUAGAGCGCCGUUCUCUGCCCGCCGGAGUGUUUUGUUGGCGCAUAGACAGAGGGUCCUGAUUUGCAGCCACAGCUACGUCCACUGGGCGUAUGGAUACCUCACAACCUCUGAGGAUGCCUGCCAUAGAUGUGGGCGAAACGUCAGGAGAGAAUACUUCUGGAACAUGGCCACACAGCCCGAAAGACAUACAACAACCCUGUGAUCCCGAUAUAUGCUGGAUUCAGAGAUGCUCUGGGGCACAAAUGUAGGAAGGAGAAAGAAAGAUGCACUGUAAAAAUCCGCCGGACAUGGGAUAGGAUUUUAUUUGGUCUUCAUUUUUAAUUUAGACAGCAGAAUUUAUAAUAAUAAUAAUAAUAAUAAUAAUAAUAAUAAUAAUAAUCUAUUUAUAAUCCCCCAUCUCCUCGAAGGGACUUCCAGACAUUUAUAUGGAUUAUAAUAUAAUUAUUAUUCAACAUAGGCACCCCUUCACACUAUUCUUAGCUCAAACAUUGGACACCAGAAAGCAAACUUUAAAAAAAAGAAAGAAAGAAAGAAGUUUUUUUGACAUUAAUUUCCAGAAUCCCCCAAUCAUUGAGAAACAUUGCUUACCUAACAUAAAUUAGAGCAAUAUA